CACGAAACAAGGUGAGCUAAUGUUUAACAAUUUUAGAUUAGUGGUAUGUUGCAUAAUACGCAGUUGAUUAAGCAUUAGGGGUGAUAGGCCAAACAAAUCUUGAGAUAACUUGUUGUCUUUGAAAAGUAUUAAGUACAUUCCUAAUUAAAAAGUGCCAAGAUUUUUUAAGCAUAUUAAUAAUUAAUAGUUUAUAUAAAAGGUUUAACAAUCUAUUUUUCCUUAAGUUAAUAUUUUUUUAAAUAAUGUUAUAGUAAAUAAAAGACUAUAUAAUAACUAUUCACAAUAUUUAUAAUGUUAUUAUAAGUAAUUGAUAGAUAUUACAAAUGAACUCGGCAAAAUACCUCUCAGCUGUUUAUCAAAAACAUCGCUAUUAGUAUACCUUAGUAGUCUUUUCUGCUCAAUGAAACUUAAAUAGCCGCAGUACUCUGACUGUGCAAAGGUAGCAUAAUCAGUUGGCUUAUAAUUGAAGUCUUGUAUGAAUGAAUGUAUGGGGGAUAACUGUAUUUGUUAUAUAACAUUAAAUUGCUAAGUGAGUGCAAAUUCUCAUAUAUUAAUUAAUAGACGAGAAGACCCUAGAAAUUUGUAUAAUAAUUAUAACUUUAGUUUUUGUUGGGGCAACAAAGUAACAAGUAAUUUACUUUUGUAGUACAAGAAAUUUAUUAGAAAGAUAAAAUUACUCUAGGGAUAACAGCGUAAUAUUUAAAUGUUUGCGACCUCGAUGUUGGAUUAGGAAGCGAAGGUC
Molecule: ribosomal RNA, 742 nt
Filed under: Granulomelon grandituberculatum
Lineage: Eukaryota; Metazoa; Mollusca; Gastropoda; Stylommatophora; Camaenidae
Description: partial 16S ribosomal RNA
Source: RNAcentral